This 253-nucleotide ribosomal RNA is filed under the name uncultured bacterium. RNAcentral describes it as "partial 16S ribosomal RNA". It matches the Rfam family "Bacterial small subunit ribosomal RNA", at positions 524 to 776 of the family's 1533-position model. The record is from RNAcentral.
UACGUAGGGCGCAAGCGUUGUCCGGAAUUAUUGGGCGUAAAGAGCUCGUAGGCGGUCUGUCGCGUCUGUUGUGAAAACUCGAGGCUCAACCUCGGGCUUGCAGUGGAUACGGGCAGACUAGAGUGCGGUAGGGGAGACUGGAAUUCCUGGUGUAGCGGUGAAAUGCGCAGAUAUCAGGAGGAACACCGGUGGCGAAGGCGGGUCUCUGGGCCGUAACUGACGCUGAGGAGCGAAAGCGUGGAGAGCGAACAGG